GACGAACGCUGGCGGCGUGCUUAACACAUGCAAGUCGAACGGAAAGGCCCUGCUUUUGUGGGGUGCUCGAGUGGCGAACGGGUGAGUAACACGUGAGUAACCUGCCCUUGACUUUGGGAAAACUGCAGGAAACUGGGGCUAAUACCGGACAGGAGCUCCUGCUGCAUGGUGGGGGUUGGAAAGUUUCGGCGGUUGGGGAUGGACUCGCGGCUUAUCAGCUUGUUGGUGGGGUAGUGGCUUACCAAGGCUUUGACGGGUAGCCGGCCUGAGAGGGUGACCGGCCACAUUGGGACUGAGAUACGGCCCAGACUCCUACGGGAGGCAGCAGUGGGGAAUAUUGCACAAUGGGCGGAAGCCUGAUGCAGCAACGCCGCGUGCGGGAUGACGGCCUUCGGGUUGUAAACCGCUUUCGCCUGUGACGAAGCGUGAGUGACGGUAAUGGGUAAAGAAGCACCGGCUAACUACGUG
This 468-nucleotide ribosomal RNA is filed under the name uncultured bacterium. RNAcentral's name for it is "partial 16S ribosomal RNA". It matches the Rfam family "Bacterial small subunit ribosomal RNA", at positions 28 to 507 of the family's 1533-position model. The record is from RNAcentral.